AGAGUUUGAUCCUGGCUCAGGACGAACGCUGGCGGCGUGCUUAACACAUGCAAGUCGAACGGAAAGGCCCUGCUUGCAGGGUACUCGAGUGGCGAACGGGUGAGUAACACGUGGGUGAUCUGCCCUGCACUUCGGGAUAAGCCUGGGAAACUGGGUCUAAUACCGGAUAGGAGCCAUUUUUAGUGUGAUGGUUGGAAAGUUUUUUCGGUGUAGGAUGAGCUCGCGGCCUAUCAGCUUGUUGGUGGGGUAAUGGCCUACCAAGGCGGCGACGGGUAGCCGGCCUGAGAGGGUGGACGGCCACAUUGGGACUGAGAUACGGCCCAGACCCCUACGGGAGGCAGCAGUGGGGAAUAUUGCACAAUGGGCGCAAGCCUGAUGCAGCGACGCCGCGUGGGGGAUGACGGCCUUCGGGUUGUAAACUCCUUUCGCUAGGGACGAAGCUUUUGUGACGGUACCUAGAUAAGAAGCACCGGCUAACUACGUGCCAGCAGCCGCGGUAAUACGUAGGGUGCGAGCGUUGUCCGGAAUUACUGGGCGUAAAGGACUCGUAGGUGGUUUGUCGCGUCGUCUGUGAAAUUCCGGGGCUUAACUCCGGGCGUGCAGGCGAUACGGGCAUAACUUGAGUACUGUAGGGGUAACUGGAAUUCCUGGUGUAGCGGUGAAAUGCGCAGAUAUCAGGAGGAACACCGAUGGCGAAGGCAGGUUACUGGGCAGUUACUGACGCUGAGGAGCGAAAGCAUGGGUAGCGAACAGGAUUAGAUACCCUGGUAGUCCAUGCCGUAAACGGUGGGCGCUAGUGUGAGGGUCUUUUCACGACUUUCGUGCCGUAGCUAACGCAUUAAGCGCCCCGCCUGGGGAGUACGGCCGCAAGCUAAACUCAAAGGAAU
RNAcentral lists this ribosomal RNA (887 nucleotides) under uncultured bacterium. Its description in RNAcentral is "bacterial SSU rRNA". It matches the Rfam family "Bacterial small subunit ribosomal RNA", at positions 8 to 910 of the family's 1533-position model. The record is from RNAcentral.